UACGUAGGUGGCGAGCGUUAUCCGGAUUUACUGGGCGUAAAGCGCUUGGAGGCGGCUUCGUAAGUUGGGCGUGAAAGCUCCGGGCUUAACCCGGAGAGGCCGUCCAAUACUGCGGAGCUCGAGGGUAGCAGAGGAAGGUGGAAUUCCUGGUGUAGCGGUGAAAUGCGUAGAUAUCAGGAGGAACACCCGUGGCGAAGGCGGCUUUCUGGGGCAUUCCUGACGCUGAGAAGCGAAAGCUAGGGGAGCAAACAGG
RNAcentral lists this ribosomal RNA (253 nucleotides) under uncultured bacterium. Its description in RNAcentral is "partial 16S ribosomal RNA". It matches the Rfam family "Bacterial small subunit ribosomal RNA", at positions 524 to 776 of the family's 1533-position model. The record is from RNAcentral.